UCCAGGUGGUUGCUAGGCAGCUGCUAAGUGGUUGCUAGGCAGUUGCUAACGUUUUCCAGGUGGUUGCUAAGUGGUUGCUAGGCAGUUGCUAAUGUUUUCCAGGUGGUUGCUAGGCAGUUGCUAAGUGGUUGCUAGGCAGUUGCUAACGUUUUCCAAGUGGUUGCUAGGCAGUUGCUAAGUGGUUGCUAGGCAGUUGCUAACAUUUUCAAGGUGGUUGCUAAGUGGUUGCUAGGUAGUUGCUAACAUAUUCCAGGUGGUUGCUAGGCAGCUGCUAAGUGGUUGCUAGGCAGUUGCUAACGUUUUCCAGGUGGUUGCUAAGUGGUUGCUAGGCAGUUGCUAAUGUUUUCCAGGUGGUUGCUAGGCAGUUGCUAAGUGGUUGCUAGGCAGUUGCUAACGUUUUCCAAGUGGUUGCUAGGCAGUUGCUAAGUGGUUGCUAGGCAGUUGCUAACAUUUUCAAGGUGGUUGCUAAGUGGUUGCUAGGUAGUUGCUAACAUAUUCCAGGUGGUUGCUAGGCAGCUGCUAAGUGGUUGCUAGGCAGUUGCUAACGUUUUCCAGGUGGUUGCUAAGUGGUUGCUAGGCAGUUGCUAACGUUUUCCAGGUGGUUGCUAGGCAGUUGCUAAGUGGUUGCUAGGCAGUUGCUAACAUUUUCCAAGUGGUUGCUAGGCAGUUGCUAAGUGGUUGCUAGGCAGUUGCUAACGUU
Astyanax mexicanus (Mexican tetra) is the source of this 700-nucleotide long non-coding RNA. RefSeq lists it as uncharacterized. The record is from RefSeq and is a predicted model, not a curated record. NCBI's taxonomy places the organism in Eukaryota, Metazoa, Chordata, Actinopteri, Characiformes, Acestrorhamphidae. The transcript has 3 exons.